AGAAGAUCGUGUUGAAGGUCUGCAUCAUGUGCAACAAGUGCAAGAUCUGCAUCAUGACGACCAUCGCCCCCUUCGAGGGGGUUGUGUCGAUAGCGCUGGACGCCGAGAAGAACACGGUGACGAUAGUGGGGAACGUCGACGCCACGCUCAUCGUGAAAGCGCUGAGGAAGGCCAGGAAGACAGCCGACAUCGUCAGCGUCGGGGAAGCCAGCAGGUACAGGCCGGUGACGGUGGAGCUAUGCACGACUUCGCAGUCACACUGCAGCUCUUGCAGGCCGGUGAUGGUGGUGUGCGAGGAAACCAAAGGGUGCAGCAUCCUGUAAAGCAGUUGAUUGUUCUACCUAUUCAUGUGUUUAUUGUUGAGGUGAUAGUGAAGAAUUCUAAACUCAAAAUAAUAUUUUUUUUAGAAAUCAAUAAAUUAAAAAGUAAAUAAGAAA
This is a long non-coding RNA of Musa acuminata AAA Group (dessert banana), 437 nucleotides long. RefSeq lists it as uncharacterized. The record is from RefSeq and is a predicted model, not a curated record. Lineage: Eukaryota; Viridiplantae; Streptophyta; Magnoliopsida; Zingiberales; Musaceae. The transcript is spliced from 2 exons.